UGUCCAGCAACUCCUAUACCAACCUCCUCGCUGUACUGGCCGGGGUACGAGCAACCUAAGGGAAGAACGGGUAACCAACCCCUGUGUGAACUUUGGUCGUAUGCUGACAGGGAAGG
Molecule: ribozyme, 116 nt
Filed under: Aedes aegypti (yellow fever mosquito)
Lineage: Eukaryota; Metazoa; Arthropoda; Insecta; Diptera; Culicidae
Description: drz-agam-1 ribozyme
Rfam family: drz-agam-1 ribozyme
Source: Rfam by way of RNAcentral